UACAGAGGUGGCAAGCGUUGUUCGGAAUUACUGGGCGUAAAGGGCGCGUAGGUGGCCUUGUUAGUCAGACGUGAAAUCCCCAAGCUUAACUUGGGAACUGCGUCUGAUACUGCAAGGCUUGAGUUCGGGAGAGGGAUGUGGAAUUCCAGGUGUAGCGGUGAAAUGCGUAGAUAUCUGGAGGAACACCGGUGGCGAAGGCGGCAUCCUGGACCGAAACUGACACUGAGGAGCGAAAGCGUGGGGAGCAAACAGG
RNAcentral lists this ribosomal RNA (253 nucleotides) under uncultured bacterium. RNAcentral's name for it is "partial 16S ribosomal RNA". It matches the Rfam family "Bacterial small subunit ribosomal RNA", at positions 524 to 776 of the family's 1533-position model. The record is from RNAcentral.